Colias croceus (clouded yellow) is the source of this 215-nucleotide long non-coding RNA. RefSeq lists it as uncharacterized. Lineage: Eukaryota; Metazoa; Arthropoda; Insecta; Lepidoptera; Pieridae. The record is from RefSeq and is a predicted model, not a curated record. The transcript has 3 exons.
UAUUAUUUUAAUUAUUAAAUUAAUUAUAGUUGACUAUUUAUUUCAAACGACUUUGUCUCAUUGUUUUCCACAUACAAUGGACGAUGGAAACAGUAAAAUGAUUGUCCAUGUUCACAUAACAAAUGUUGCAUCAAACACGAAUAAUAAUGAGACUCAACGAUUGGUUCAAGAAAAAACAUAUAAAUACGAAUAAAAAUAAAACAAGCCAUGUUUGA